This is a long non-coding RNA of Alligator mississippiensis (American alligator), 6717 nucleotides long. RefSeq lists it as uncharacterized. The record is from RefSeq and is a predicted model, not a curated record. Lineage: Eukaryota; Metazoa; Chordata; Crocodylia; Alligatoridae. The transcript has 5 exons.
UUGUGACCCGCGGGUUGAGAAGCACUGUCCUAGAGCUCACUGGCCCACACUUUGCUUCUUUGCAUGUUUCCAAGACUAUUAGUGUUUCUCACCAGCUGGGUCAGCUCGGCCUGUCUGUGUCGAUAUGGGUGAAAGUCACACACACAGGGCCAGGUUGACAGCCAGGGAACUGGGAUUUCGCUGGCACAGCCAGCUUCCUCACACGCAGGUGCCACCGGUGUGCUGCCGCCCGCAGAGGGACCACCAGUAGGAGAGAAGUCCAUUAACCACAGUCCACUCCGAUUUCUGCCCAUGGGGGGACAAUUGGCACUGGCUCCACAGGGUUUUGUGAUGUGCACAUCUGUCCUAGAGUGAGAUCAAGCCAUCCACCAUCCCAGAUCAUCCACAACAGGUCUGACUGUCCGAGCUGUGCCCAUAAAGACUCCUAGAAACAGGACUUUUGCCCCCAAACAGAUGCCAGGCCCAGCAUUUGCAAACCAACUGGUCAAACUGCCCGGCCAUUGUGGAUUUUAGGGCUGCUGGUAGCCUCUCUGACUGUAUCCCAGAUGUUGCCUCCCUGAAAGUCGGCUGCUUUAGAGUGACCUCAAGUGGGCCAGGAAACAGCCACCAGGUGGAGACAAGAUCUGAUUGCUCAUGGGUGGACUGGGCUUGCACCGAUGGCCAGUGGACAUUCUGAAGGGCUGGACAGUCUGGGUAGACUGGACUUGCACAGGUGGCCAAAAAGCAGAAGGUUAUUAAGCACGCAUAGUUGGGCUUUGAAGAUGGGUCAGUGGAACUGAUGCUCCCCUUACUUACACCACGUUAAGUCCAUUCGUUCUUGCAUCAUCCCUCCAGAUAUACCUGGAAGUGUGAGAAGAGAAUCAGGCCCACUGAACCUUUUUGCCACUGCAGAUACUCAAGAGCCUCUUUUUGCUGCCCUUGAUCAUGAAGGAUGGCACACGAUCUCCGCAGGCAUUUGCACUGCUCUCAGAUGAUCUUCUUCUUGGGAAGGCACCAAACCUAGUGUCUUCCUAUGUCAUUUGGAUCAUUUACUUCAAGCAAAUCAUCCUUUUGGGCUGAUGCCAUGCCCAAGGGAUGGUGCUUCAUGGCCCCAGAGCUGUUGGCUCAUAUUUCCUUUUUAGCUCCGUGGUUGUCCUUUUGCUCCAUGCCUGGGCUGAGGGCGUGGGUGGCUCUGGGCCUCACAGUUACCCUUGCAAAACCCACGUCACUGGGAUGUUAAGAGCAUGCUCUGAUCCAAGGUAAACAGAGAAGCCCACGGGGAACAAAACCUCCCAAGGGGAGAGGAGUAAGAGGAACGAUUGAGGAAAAAAAAAAGAAAAUGAAAUAUAUAAAGUCUGGCCAAAUGAUGACGAAGGAGGGAGCAGAGCUGGAUAACGGUCUGCCAGUCUCUGACGAGUGCAAACACCAUGGAAAGAGAUCUGAGGAGAUGGAGCCAGGAGGAUGGAAGUUAGGAAACUAUUCGGGCUAUGUACUAGUUAGCCAGGAAAUCGGAUGGGAGCCCCAGGACUAGAGCAAUCGAGAAUGGGCUGGGCAUGUUUCACGGGGAGCACUCUUGUUCGCUGCAAGGAGGACGAACAGACAGAGGAGGAACAGUCAUAGAAAGAGCCCUACCCACAGCCAGGUUGUUCCCUGAGACCAGCAGCAGCUUUCCCCCAGCCCAGAUGCCUGUCCGCUGUUGCCAGAGACUGGGAAUCAGAAGCAACACAAGGCAUCCUGCACAUGCUGCCGCACCUCAAGGAUGCUUGAGGAUCUAGACCUACCUUGGGUAAGCCAAGGACUCACAAAGCGAGUCUGCACUAGAGCAGGAAAUUUUAUGGGAGCUUCCUGUGUCCAGAGCCAACCUCCACCCCAGGAUCGAGGCCCGAAGAUGCUACUACGAUACAGGCCCUGAGCAGGAGGUAUUUGCUGAAGCAAGGAGUGUCAGCACAUCCCUGUUUGACAGACUCACUGAAGACUUGGGAGACUGGGGCAACUCCUUGCUCUGCCACAGACUGCCUGUGCGUCCUUGGUCAAAUCACUUAUGCUGUCUGUGCUGCAAUUCCCACAUAGAGACCCUCCCAAAGCAAGGCAGAACUGAAGCAGCGAUUUCAUCCUGCAGGGGCUUUCAGCAAGGAAGCAGCUUGCAUGCAUGGGAGAUCCUCAAGCUGUGAGUAAGGACGGGCUCAGCAGGCAGGUGGAGUCUGGAGCACGGGGGACAAUACAUGCCACCCCACCAUUCAUUCUGUAGGUAACUGGUGCUGUCGAGCAAGUUAGACCCCAGGUUUUGUUUCCAUACUCUCUCUGUGAAGGAGGUGGGUGAUUCCUAUGAUGUGUUAUAGGUUCCACCUCUUUCAUUGUUAUGGGGGGUAACUCUGGGAAUUGCUAUUGCUCUGGGAAACCAGGAGGUCUCCUGUACACAGGAAAGGAGACAACAGCCUGAUAGACUUCACAGUCACUGUUCAUCUCCAGCCCUUUGGUGUGGGGCAUAAUCUCAUUAGCCGGGUCUGAGAGGUGCAGGGCACACAAAGAACUCCAGACCUGGCAAAAGGGGCUAUCUCUGAACAGCGGAGGAUGAGAAAGAUGCACUGUAUCCCAACCUCAGAGGGCAUUUCUACACGUGUGCAUUGACUGCGCAGUAACCAAAAUUAUUGCACAGUAUGGGCAUGUGUCUACAUGUGCGCACCCAUACUGUGCAGUAAAUAUGGCGACUUAAACUGACUUGAGAGUAAAUUUGAUACCUGCAUCAUGCAGGUAUCAAAUUUAUACCCGAUUAGUUCCUGUACAGUAAUGCACAUGUUGAUGCCUUACUGCACAGGACCACUGUGUGUGUGGACUGACUUGCGUGCAUGGGAGAUUCGGGACUACCAGCAGUCCCAAGUCAGUCCACAUACUGCUAAUGUGCUUUAAUGGCUGCCCAUGUAGACACUGGCCUAUUUCCACUUACUGCACAGUAAAUUUAAACCGGCGUAAAUGCACAUGUAGACAUGGCCGGAGUGUCUCACAGGUCUCUGCACUAGCCCCCCUCUAACGUCAGGUCCUUGCCACAGGCCAAUCCCCCCUGACAGCUAGAUGAGUGGUUCCCAAGCAUUGUGGACCAAACACUGAGUUUCCAAGUGAAAGGGGGAGCCUAGUUUGUUGCAGGGUCCAGUGAGAGUCGGUGACCAUGGGCUGCUGUUUGGGAACCGCUCUGCUAGACUGCUCUUCCUCUCUCCUUCUGCCAGGGUUUGACAACGAGGAUGCAUCUGGGAAGGUCCAGGAGGGUGAAGGCACCACCUAGCACUUGCGGGAAGACUUCAAGAGAUGAGAUAGCAGAGAACAAAUACAGAGCUGCAAGGCUGGCACGCAUUGUACUGCUGCAGCUUAACCAGCAGAGGGGAGGAGAGCCCCAGAAAUAGAGCCAAGGCCUGCGUGCAAAGGAGAAGGGAUGCUUUUUCCUUCACGGAGGGGGCUAUGUGGAGCCAGGUCUUGCACCACUGCAGAACCACACCAUACCGCUGGGUGCUUCUUGACUUUGAGGGGUGCAGGUUGUAGCCGUGUUGGUUUAAGGACACAGGCAGACAGAUAUAGGCAUCGGGGAAGGGUGUUUGUGCCCGAAAGCUCACCAAGAAGAAUUUUGCCAACUAUUUGAGUUGGUCUAAUAAAAGAUAUCGGACUUACCCAAAGAACCGUGUCUGUCUUGGCUUUGGAGGACUUGUGGUCCUUGUGGAGACAGGACAGUCGACAGCGCCCUCAACCCUCUGCUUUCCCAGUUGGCUUUGUUCCUGCUGAUGUUCUUGAGGAUUAUUCAUGCAGUAUUAAGGACACGUUAGACAAACGCUUGUCUAGGAUGGUUUAAACAGCGGUGUUCCUGCCCUGAGCAGCGCUUGGACUAGACGUGAGCUCCUGAGAUCCCUUCCAGCCCUACUUUUUAUGACUGUGUGACUGGCUAGUGGUCCCGUGUUGCAACAGAGGUCUUCAGGAAGCCUGAGCAAUUGCUUCUUGCUCAGCGCUGUUCUGCAGGGCAGCAUGGAUCCACGUCCCCGGCACUGCCCUAGCUUUGAGAGGGCACCUCCCGAUGCCUCGCUGCACCAGGCUGCCCUGUCUGUUGGGGUAUGGCAAUGGGAUCAGGCAAUGUUAUCCCACCUGCGCACUGGUGCCUGGUGUCGGAGGCUCAGGAUGGAGGCCAAAAGGGGAGCUUCCCUGUGGCUUAUUCACAGGCCAUCCCUCCUUGCCCUGCAUGGCCUCUGCCUCCUGCCCUCCAGCGGUGCCUGCUGUAUUGAGCUGGUGCCCCCUCAAGCUGUGCUCCCUAUUAAUCAUCCCGGCAAGGGGAGACCCUUUCUGUUGACUCAGCAGGCCAGCGGGAGUUGCAAAGAAGCUGCUGGCAGCAGGUGAAGCAACUGCAGCAAGCAAGCAAGCAAGCAAGCAAGCAAGCAAGCGGUAAAACGGUGUGAAGUGCUGAAGCUGGAGAGAGGGGGGAAGCCACGAAACAUGAGGUGCAGUGCAGGCCCCUGCUGAUGGGUUUGGGCCAUAACCUAACCCCAGUUGUCUUCCUGCCUGGAAUGGGAGGCAGGGGGGCUGGACCCGAUGGUCUGCAGGGUCUCUUCCAGCCCCUAACAACUAUGAAUCUAUGAGUAAUGGCUCCUUUGAAAGGUUUUUAUGCUUCAUUUCUGAGCUUAGCAGCUGAUUCUCUGACAGCAGGUGGCUGGGGGAGUGCUGGGCUUGGCGCUCAGGCUGCAAUCUGCCCCUGAUCCAUGACCACUGCGGCUGCCUUGACCUGGUCCCUCUGGGGUUAGGGAGCCCUGGAUGCUUUGUGUCCUGCCCUCCUUCCUCUCCAACAGCCGAGCAAAGGAAGCAAACAGUCUUAAGGGAGCAGACAGCUCUACCUUGAUGCUCUGUCCUGGGCACCUCUUUGCUCCUGGGAGAAACAAGGGGCUCCGCAUUGCAAGAAGAGAGGCUCUUUAUCUCCCCACCUUCACCCGGCAGCAGCUUCUUUAUCCCUGCUCCUCAAAGCAGCCCCUGAAGAGGCAGUUCAGCUGAGCAGGCAGCUCUGCAAUGCAGAACCUCGUGCCCAUGGCACGGUACAGUAGACAGCACUCACGCCCGUGCUUGCUUAGGGCUGAGCAAUGGUCCCCUCUCCAUGCUGCACCCAUCCUCACAUCCAUUCCUAGCUUUGCCGAUGAUUUGCCAAGUUAUCCUGAGCAAGUUACUCCACUGUCCGUCUGCAAACUGCAGGAAACACUCCCCCCCUGCCACCCCAUGUGAUGCUCCACUCAGUCAUAUUAGCAACCCAUACACGAUUGGUCCCUGCAAUGGAAAUCAUGUCCUCAGCAGAUUGGAGCUCCUUAAUUUAUCACCUAGAGAAGUUUCAGGGGCAACUUGAUCUUGGGCUGCGAGUACUUACCGAGGGACGAGACGUCCUUAAGCGGAGAGCUCUUUGCUUGAGCAGACAGUGACGUAACGUGAUCCAGUGGCCGGGAUCCAAAACCAGACACAAUCCCGACUGAGCAGCAACAACAUGUAAAUCUUUCACUUGAGGGUGAUUAAACCUUGGAACAACUCCCGAGGGACGGGCCGGAGUUGUAGCACCUGCAGGCUUUACAUCCAGGCUGGUGUUCCUCCGAAAGAGAGAUGCUCUCGGCCUGCCGCAGCAGGGCAUGCUCCAAGCAGGGUCUCUGGGUGCGAGCAUCUGCUGGCGGCUACCCCGACAGUCCCUUCUAGCCUCGAUAUCUCCAACAGAGGUGAAGGCUUUGCUAGAGAGUAGAAACAGACAUCACCUGACAUUAUAACCAUUUUUAUGGUGGUGCAUAGACUGUCCCUACCUUUUGCCAUGCUACAUCAGUGGGGUGACAAAAGAUAGUGUUAAACGAUGCCGCAGCAUUGUAGUGCACGUCUAUCUGCUCUGUGGCAGGAGAGUGCAGGAAGCCCACAGCUGCCCGCUCUCUCCAUCUGCUCCAGGCAUGUGUUUUGGGGGCCUGCCAAGCCCAGUCCUGUGCACCCGGGUAUUCCCACCUGGGGUUGUGCCCCUCGAGCCCUGGGAACACCUGCCCAGCUUUCCCUGCAUAUAGAGACGUGCCCUGGAAAGUCUUGGGGUGUCUCUCUGUGAGCAGGGAAAGUCGGGGAUCCUGGGGAUCUCCAGGGAUGCAUCUCCAUGAGCAGGGAAAGCCCUUGCAGGUCCUGGCAUGAAGGCAUGGGGCUUGGGGAAUCCCUGGUGCCCCGUGCCUGGAUGCCGGGACCCACUCCAAGUCCGGUGCUGACCUGUGCUUUGCAUGGAGGCAUGCGUUGGUGUGGGUCCCAUGUGGAGGCACACGGUGCUGGAUCCACUUCUGUGAGGCAUGGGUUAGCACGGGAUCCAGGAGGUAUGUGAAGGGCACAACGAAGCCCUGGGCGAGGGGAACCCAUGCUGUCCCCCACCGGGGUGCAAUGGGUGUUUCGCCCAGUCAAGCAACUCAGCUGCGGCAGGAUACGUCCUGCACAGCACAGCUGAUUUGCUUCAGUUUGGCUAUGUCUGUUUUUACCCAGAGAGAGGCAAAGGGCUCCUAUUCGAAACACUAGAUCUUGCCUUGUCAAGCCCGUUCCCUUUUCCCCAGCAUUUGUACAUGUCGAAAUAAAAAUCCAAAUUAAAAAAAGGGAGAGCAGAGAGCGCGAAGGAGCCUGCAGUCCAGAUGCUGACAAGGCUGUCUUUGGCAGGAGCUGGCACAGUGCUGGAGACCAAACCUAAACGGCUCAGAAUUAGAAUAAAAACAACAGACCCAAAGGACA